CCUGUACACAAUAAACAAACAGUUUUUCUCGAUCGCAAAGAAGCGCGUUAGAAAAAAACAAGUAAUCACUCUGUCAAACGCUGAUGCUCGACUGCAAUAUUUUAAAUGCCUCUCAAAUUGUUUAUAUAAAUUUAAAAUAGAUCUUUAAUUAUUGCAUCAGCGCGCGGUUCAUUGGCUGGACGUUCGCGUGGCGAUUUUUCUGGACACGGUGAUGGGAUGUCCGUUUCCACGACUGAGGCGUGCCGCCCAACAAGAGGAGGACAGCGACUCGGAUGUAAAUCCGGGCGACAUGGUAGUCUGGUUGAACGGUAAAAAAAUCGUUUUGAGGAAUGCUAAGGUGAAUCUGACAGAGAAACUAAUACAAAUGUUGCCAACUAUAACCGUAACCGAUGUAGAGAAUCAGAGUCGAGUAUUGUACGAACCUGAAGUGAUUUUUCCCGCCCCAUACAAACAACCCACCGACGAUGAAGAGUUCUAUGAACACACAAAAAGAAACAAGUACUAAAUGUUACUGGAGCAUUUUUUACCGCUUUUUUACAAUGUUAUAAAACUGUUUUAUAUGUACAUACCUAUGUAGUUUUGUAUAAACUGAAAUAUACAAUUUUUCAACGG
Long non-coding RNA from Aethina tumida (small hive beetle), 612 nucleotides. RefSeq lists it as uncharacterized. The transcript is spliced from 2 exons. The record is from RefSeq and is a predicted model, not a curated record. Lineage: Eukaryota; Metazoa; Arthropoda; Insecta; Coleoptera; Nitidulidae.